Molecule: ribosomal RNA, 2334 nt
Organism: Selaginella moellendorffii
Lineage: Eukaryota; Viridiplantae; Streptophyta; Lycopodiopsida; Selaginellales; Selaginellaceae
Rfam family: Eukaryotic small subunit ribosomal RNA
Source: Rfam
UUAGUUGAUCUUACUAGUAGUCAUAUGUCUGUCUCAAAGAUUAAGCCAUGAAUGUAUAAAUAUAAAUUGUUUUAUAUUGUGAAAUUGUGAAUGGCUUAUUAAAUCAAUAAUAGUUUAUUUGAUAGUACCUUACUACUCAGAUAACUAUAGUAAUUCUAUAACUAAUAUGUGUAAAGAGUCCUGACUUUCAGAAGGGAUGCACUUACUAGAUUCAAGACUAAUGUGUGCUCAUUUAUAUUCUCAGUGGUUCAUGAUAACUUGUCAAAUCAUAUGAUGCUUUAUUUCGUUAAAGUGGGACUUAUUCAGUAAAGUGGGACAUUAAUUAGCAUGUGUCCACAUGCCAUUUACUAGUACUUAAUUAAUAUUUAUUAAUAUUUCUAUCAGUUUUUUAAUUUAUUUUUUUAUAUUUCACAAUAUUAUAACACAAAAUCAUAUGAAAAGUUUUUAAUUUAUAAAUUAUAAAGUUAAAACUUCAAUUUUUUAUUGUUGUUAUAAAAAUGGCAUGUGGCCACACACCAUAAGUGGGAUAAUGAAAAGUCCCACUUUAACGAAAUAAAGCAUUAUGGUCCUCGUGUCAGUGAUACUUAAAUUAAAUUUCUGCCCUAUCAACUUUUGAUGGCUAUCAUAGUGGUGAUAGGUAAUAGGGAAUUAGGGUUUGAUUUUGAGACAUAGCUACCACAUCCAGGGAAGGUAGCAAACGCACGAAUUAUCCAAUUCUGACAGGGAGGUACUGACAAUAAAUAAUAAUACCGGCCUUUCAAAAUUUGGUAAUUGGAAUGAGUAUAAUAUAAAUCUCUUAAGGAAGAUUCAUUAGAGGGCAAGUCUAGUGCCAAUAGCUAUAGUAAUUCUAAUUCUAAUAACAUGUUAUUAUAGUUGAAAAAGCUCAUUUGGAUCUCAAGACAAGAUGAAUGGUUUCCCUGUAUGCACUAGUCACCCCAUUCUAUGAGUCAAUGAUGCUAAUUUGAUCUUUACUGGCUAGGGUGUGGAGUCGACAAUGUUAUUUUGAAAAAAUUAAAGUGCUCAAAACAGACUCAUACUCUAAAUACAUUAGUAUGGAAUAAUGUAAUAGGACUCUGAUCUUGUUGUGUUGGUCUCCAAGAUAUGAGUAAUGAUUAGUAGGGACAAUUGGGGGCAUUUGUACUCUCCAAGAUAUGAGUAAUGAUUAGUAGGGACAAUUAGGGGCAUUUAUACUCUAUUGUUAGAGAUGAAAUUCUUAAGCAUUUGCUGAGGAUGUGUAGCACACCUUAUUUCUCUCCCCUUAAGUCAACUGGAAAAGGGGCAAUUGCUUAAUGAAAGAGCCCUUAGUGGUUAUUUUAUCCCCAAAGGUUUCAAGGAUCCAUGGUGACAGUAUAUCUAAAUUUCAUCCCAUGAUCACAUGUGCUACACUCACCCCCCCUUUCACCCCCCCUUUAGAGAUGUCAAUGUCCUCAUUGACUAUUGACUAUUGACUAACAACCCCCUAUUGAGCCAAGGGGAACCAACACCUCCAUUUCCCGUACUGCAGUCCCACGGUAGAUACUUUCGUCCGUAUUCCAUAUGAGGCAACUAGUCAUCCACUCGUACCGUAGUCCCAUGGUGGAUACCUUCGUCUGUAUUCCAUGCCGUAUUCCAUGUGAGGCAACUAGUCAUCCACCCAUACUGCAGUCCCACGGUGGAUACUUUCGUCCAUGGAUACUUCGUCCAGUCGUUGAAAAUAUUCCCAGAUUUGAGAUGCAAGAGGGCGGGGUGGCCGAGGCACAAUGAAGAUUCCAGUCGCUGAAAAUAUUCCCAGAUUUGAGAUGCAAGAGGGCAGGGUGGGGGUGGCCGAGGCACAAUGAAGAUUCCCAAGUCUGGAUUUGCAAACCCAAGUCUGGAUUUUUUUGCAAAUCCGUUUGAGGUUCACACAAGAGGAAGGACGCCCAAUAUGUACAAUUUCAAAUUUAGGGGUAAGAAUAUACCUUACUCAAGGGUAUAUUAUAUUUUUAAGUAACCACUAAUCAAUAGGAAUCGAACCCGUGCCAUUUGUUCCAAUACCAACUAUAACGCACCUUAUCUCUCUCCCCUUAAGCCAAUUGGAAAAGGGGCAAUUAUUUAAUGAGAGAGCCCUUAGUGGCUAUUUUAUCCUCAUUUAUCCCCUAAGGUUCCAAGGAUCCACGAUGACAGUAUAUCCAAAUCUCAUCCCAUGAUCACAUGCACUACAUGAUGCUUUUAUUAAUCAAGAAUGAAAAUUAGGAGCUCAAAUACGAUUAAAUACCAUUUUAGUCUUAACCAUAGAUGAUGAUGAUUAGGGAUUGGCAGAUGUUAUUUGGAUGACAACGCCAUCACCUCAUGAAAAAUCAAAGUCUUUGAGUUCCA